GCCCCGAUAGCUCAGUAGGCAGAGCGUCUCCAUGGUAAGGAGAAGGUCCAGGGUUCAAAUCCCUGUUGGGGCU
This 73-nucleotide transfer RNA is filed under the name Varibaculum cambriense. RNAcentral describes it as "tRNA-Thr". It matches the Rfam family "tRNA". From Rfam's summary of the family: Transfer RNA (tRNA) molecules are approximately 80 nucleotides in length. Their secondary structure includes four short double-helical elements and three loops (D, anti-codon, and T loops). The record is from RNAcentral. Lineage: Bacteria; Bacillati; Actinomycetota; Actinomycetes; Actinomycetales; Actinomycetaceae.